This 401-nucleotide unclassified non-coding RNA is filed under the name soil metagenome. RNAcentral describes it as "partial contains 5.8S ribosomal RNA, internal transcribed spacer 2, and large subunit ribosomal RNA". The stretch from base 1 to 121 matches the Rfam family "5.8S ribosomal RNA", at positions 35 to 154 of the family's 154-position model. The record is from RNAcentral.
GAUGAAGAACGUAGCGAAAUGCGAUAAGUAAUGUGAAUUGCAGAAUUCAGUGAAUCAUCGAAUCUUUGAACGCACCUUGCGCCCUUUGGCUAUUCCGAAGGGCAUGCCUGUUUGAGUAUCAUGAACACCUCAACUCUCAUGGUUUGCCAUGAUGAGCUUGGACUCUGGGGGUCUUGCUGGCCUAUGGUCAGCUCCUCUCAAAUAAAUCAGCUUGCCAGUGUUUGGUGGCAUCACAGGUGUGAUAACUAUCUACGCUUGUGGUUUUCCAUCAGGUAACCUUCAGUGAUGGAGGUUCGCUGGAGCUCAUAAAUGUCCCUCCUCAGCGAGGACAGCUUUUUGAACGUUUGAUCUCAAAUCAGGUAGGACUACCCGCUGAACUUAAGCAUAUCAAUAAGCGGAGG